GCGCAGCCCGGCUUGAGCGGAAAUCCUUUUUUGCUUUGACUUCUGGUUCUAUUGAUUAAAAAAAUGUCGAGCAAAAAAGAUUGGGAGCGGAAGACGGAUUAAGC
Molecule: small RNA, 104 nt
Filed under: Epilithonimonas xixisoli
Lineage: Bacteria; Pseudomonadati; Bacteroidota; Flavobacteriia; Flavobacteriales; Weeksellaceae
Description: Chryseobacterium xixisoli Flavo-1 RNA
Source: RNAcentral